UGGGGAAUAUUAGGCAAUGGGGGAAACCCUGACCUAGCAACGCCGCGUGAAGGAUGAAGGUUUUCGGAUUGUAAACUUCUUUGGCAGGGGACGAUAAUGACGGUACCCUGAGAACAAGCCACGGCUAACUACGUGCCAGCAGCCGCGGUAAUACGUAGGUGGCAAGCGUUGUCCGGAUUUACUGGGUGUAAAGGGCGAGUAGGCGGGUGCACAAGUCAGAUGUGAAAUACCGAGGCUUAACUUCGGGGCUGCAUUUGAAACUGUGCAUCUUGAGUGAUGGAGAGGCAGACGGAAUUUCCAGUGUAGCGGUAAAAUGCAUAGAGAUUGGAAGGAACACCAGUGGCGAAGGCGGUCUGCUGGACAUUAACUGACGCUGAGGAGCGAAAGUGUGGGGAGCAAACAGG
Molecule: ribosomal RNA, 404 nt
Filed under: uncultured prokaryote
Also listed under: 1 other name
Description: bacterial SSU rRNA
Rfam family: Bacterial small subunit ribosomal RNA
Source: RNAcentral